Molecule: transfer RNA, 57 nt
Filed under: Rankinia diemensis
Lineage: Eukaryota; Metazoa; Chordata; Lepidosauria; Squamata; Agamidae
Description: tRNA-Cys
Source: RNAcentral
GGUUUAAAGAAAAGUUUGAGUGCAAAUCAAAUAAUGGGCUUGAUAGUCCUUAAGCCU